RNAcentral lists this non-coding RNA (202 nucleotides) under Clostridiales bacterium. Its description in RNAcentral is "6S RNA". It matches the Rfam family "6S / SsrS RNA". From Rfam's summary of the family: E. coli 6S RNA was the first non coding RNA to be sequenced, but its function was unknown until recently. It consists of 184 nucleotides that fold into an extended hairpin structure with a large single-stranded internal bulge. Lineage: Bacteria; Bacillati; Bacillota; Clostridia; Eubacteriales. The record is from RNAcentral.
UAACUCCUGCUGUGUUUGUUAUGGCGCAUAAUUUUUCCCACAGAACAAAAACGGGAGAAUGUGUACUGCCGAUUGCUGUCAGGCCUCAGAAAUUUCACUGAUUGAAAAAUCAGACAGCGGGGGAAGACAAAAACGGCGUCAAUUCACCCACCUGCGUAAAGCGGGUAAAAGAUUAGCGUCAGACGGCAUAUGCGGGAUUCUU